Molecule: long non-coding RNA, 6604 nt
Organism: Clupea harengus (Atlantic herring)
Lineage: Eukaryota; Metazoa; Chordata; Actinopteri; Clupeiformes; Clupeidae
Source: Ensembl
GAUUAACAUCAGGCUGCACUUCAGCGUUCUGGUCAGUUCUGUGGGAUUAACAUCAGGCUGCUCUUCAGCGUUCUAGUCAGUUCUGUAGGAUUAACAUCAGGCUGCUCUUCAGCGUUCUGGUCAGUUCUGGUCAGAUUAACAUCAGGCUGCACUUCAGCGUUCUGGUCAGUUCUGUGGGAUUAACAUCAGGCUGCACUAAAUUUGCCUCGGGAUUAAUAAAGUAUCCAUCCAUCCAUCCAUCCAUCGAUCCAUCCAUCCACUUCAGCGUUCUGGUCAGUUGUGCGGGAUUAACAUCAGGCUGCACUUCAGCUGGGCAAAAACCAACUGAUGCGAUGAGAAUAUUCAGAAGGGCAGAGUUUUAGACGCGUAACUGGUACGAAAAACCUUGUCGAUUUGAACUCAGUAGCUCCUAAAUGCUGAACCUCCAUUGGUUGUUCUCCAUAGCUUGCUUCUAAAUGUUCUCAAAGAAACUCAUUUUAGAUCAGGCUUCAUUUUGUAUUUUUGAUGGUCCUAAAAAUAGGACGAAAAACUGGAAGACUAUUUAAAAUAUAGACUUUUGAAAUAAAUCACUGUUUAAUUUUAAGACACACCAUCCAAGAAAUUACAGAACACAUUCACAAGCCAUUUUUUAUUGAUGGGUUAAAGAUUUUCUUUUUUUUUUUUUUUUUUGAGAAGGGGAGCCUUUUUGGCACCGGUUACAAAUUCUAUAAAGCAGCAUUUGAACAUUACAUAUCCAAUAUUGCACCCUUCACUGGAGUAAAUAGGAGUUAAACAAUAGUCAGCACCAAUUCUAAUGACUGAAAUCAGAUUGACAAGUUACAAUGAAAACCAAAAGAACAGAAAUCAUUCCAUACAGAUUCUCUUUUUUUUUGACUUACUAAACGUGAAAGUUCUACAUUUCUACUUUCCAAUAAGAAGCUUGCCCAUUUCUAAAGAUUUCAAAUCUGAUUUGUAAAAAAAAAAAAUCAUAUACAGGAGAGAUGGUGGGGUGUGAGAACGCUGUCGAUGACAAGAGUAGCCAUCCGAGGGCUAACACACUGGGCAGGCAGGCUAAGGUCUGCAGCUGGUAAUGAGUGGAGAAACGUCUGCAGUACUACACACACACACAUUCACACACACACGCAGUACUACACACACAUUCACAUGCAGCACUACACACACACACACACACACACACACACACACACACACACACACACACACACACGCAGUACUACACACACACACAUUCACAUGCAGUACUACACACACACACACACACACACACACACACACACACACACACACACACACACACACACACACACACACACAGUACUACACACACAGACACAUUCACAUGUUGGUUGCCAAGUCGACUGGGCACAGAACCUCCUCAAGCACACACUGCCCCAAUGAAAUGUCUGGAAAAAGGCACCCCCACACUGGGGUGACGUGUGCACACACACACACACACACACUGAGGUGACGUAUGCACACACACACACACACACACACACACUGGUGUGACGAGCACAGUUGCACACACACAGGAACACAUAUUCUGACAGUCAUUAAGUAGAAUUACUCACUCACACACUCUGAGAGUCAUAGAGCAGGAGACCUUACACUCACUCACUCACACACACACACACACACACACACACACACUCUGAGAGUUAUAGAGCAGAAGACCUUACACUCACUCACACACACACACACACACACACACACUCUGAGAGUUAUAGAGCAGAAGACCUUACACUCACUCACACACACACACACACACACACACACUCUGAGAGUCAUAGAGCAGAAGACCUUACACUCUCACACACACACACACACACACACACACAAACACUCACACACACACACACUCUGAGAGUUAUAGAGCAGAAGACCUUACACUCACUCACACACACACUCUGAGAGUUAUAGAGCAGAAGACCUUACACUCUCACACACACACGAACACACACACACACAAACACUCACACACACACACACUCUGAGAGUUAUAGAGCAGAAGACCUUACACUCACUCACACACACACUCUGAGAGUUAUAGAGCAGAAGACCUUACACUCACACAUGCCCAUUCUCUGUGGAAUGUCUGCAUCAGUCUCUGCCUUUGUAAACUCUGAGAUACCUAGAGCUCUGGCCAUGCAGGUCUUGUGUCAUGACACACAGACACACACACAGGAGCACAGUUCAUUUCUCAGGCUGUGGCAUGGCCUGGCACAGGUGGCGUGCAUGGUUGAGUGGGUUGAACAGGUGCCAUAACCCUGGCCUUCACCUGUGCCAACCCACGGGCCUUGGCACACUUCCCAGCUCCUGCGCUUGAAUGACGCAGAGGCGACAGGCACUCUCCUCCUGGUUGCAUUAACCCAAAUGGGCCUCGGUGACGCAGAGGAACCCGUUCCAACCGAGGCGGGUGAAGCCCGCCAUGCCAACGCGCUGGUAAAGGAAUGCACUACUUGUACCCGAGAGAAGUGGAUUGGUGGAAAAAACAAACAAGGGCAAACGUACUAAUGACCUCAAAUAUUUCUGGCCUAACUUGACAGAAUCGCUUUAGUUGCGCAGAACAAGAUAGUGAUAAAAAGCACUGGGUAAAAAGGCCUAGCAACUAAACCUACCGAAGCAAAAUCAAAAAAAACAUUCUCAUGGAGAGCGAGACAUGAAUUGUUUGUCUAUGCACUGAGAAAGCACCAGAACUAUACAAGGGAAGGUCCACAGAAAAGAACAGUAUUCUGCCAGAGAUAUUGCUAGUAUUUGCUAGAAUGGUUUGACAUACGUCUCAUACUUGGGGUGAUAUUUUGACAAGAGAUGACCUGAAAAACAAAAUAGUAUGAAAUGUCCUUUGAUGUUACCUGUAUAGGCUGUUCAGUUUGAAAAAUAGAGCCAUCAGAUGUAUAAUAUUUGUAUAGCUUGUGGUAAAUACCCUACAUAGUGCAAAAACUACCAAAGCAAUGGAUAGCUCAAACCAUAACACAAGACCAAGGCAUAAAAGUAAAAAUGUCAUUAGGGGAAGGGAUUUUUUUUUUAAUAUUUUGAAUUUCUAAAAUUGAAAUUACCCGAAACAUCCAAAGCUGAGAACAUGAAGCAAUUUUCUUAUACAUAACUGAAAGUGUUUUAAAUUUUAACAAUCUGUGAAGCUUAGAUUACAGCUCACACAUGUUUAAAAAAAAAAAAAAAAAAAAUGAACCCUGGUGCAUCUCUUUCUAGGAAAUGAUUCAGUAAAAUACAAGACCCACAACUCAGCUCUGUAGCAUUCUUGAAAGAAAGGCAGUUUUAAUGGACAAAAGGAUGUGCAACAGCAAGGGAACCACUUACAGUGCUUGGCUUUUCUUUUUGGUCAGUUGGAUAGAUGGACAGAACUCAAAAAAGUCAGUUUACAUCCAGUCAGUGUCAUCCUCAGACUGAGCUUGUAUCUGACGACCCCAUGACCUCCACCAUCUCCUUCAACAUUGCCAGAAACACGGCUCACCAUUUUUUUCCCCCCCAAGACAAUCAAUCAGACACCUCCUGGAGGCGUUGUGUUACAGAUGCAUAAUUAAAAAGGAAAAUUUGAAUCACAAAUGAAAAAGAAAAAAGUCGACAAAGUAGUUGAGUAGUAGAGUCCCACCUAGUCCAGUCCAGUCCAGAAGCCAAAAAGGAGGGGAGUAGGAAAAAAAAGAAAGAAAUUGAGGAAAGACAAACCACCUCAGUUUCUGUGAGUCUAGAAAGUUCUUUGAACCACACAGGCCUGUGUGUGACGGAGUGCACGGGUGUGUGUGUGUGUGUGUGUGUCUGUCUGUGUGUGUGUGUUUGUGUGUGUGAAAACCAUGUCAAGCUAUAUACAGUGUGUGCGAUUUAAAGAGAGAUACUUUCUAAAGUCCCGACUCCCCCAGAGCCCGAGGAAGGCUGUAAAAAAUGACGUUUUUUUAAAAAGGUAUCCUCCACCGAGAGAGACACACACACACACACACACAUACACACGCGUGUUCCGGAUGACUGAUGCGUGGCUCCUCCGAUGGGCGGGUUGUCUGUUCAGCUAACGCAUCGAACUCAGCAACACAGUGUCCUGUCCUGCGGCUCCUUGAGUUGCCAAAACAAAAACCAGUUAGGAGGAAUUCACAUCAGACAUCCUACCUGCAAAGAAAAGAAACAAGACACGUCGAGUAAAACUCCCCCAAAAGAAAAGGCAUCACACACACACACACACACACACACUCAGCAUCAUCACAGGGCGACUCAGGAUCACCCACAAAGCCUCGGGGCAGCAGAGGCCGGCGGGGGCCCACCUGAAGGACAGCCGCACGACCAAAGUGUGACCGGGAACGGGCCACCUUUUAUGGAGGUUCUUAUUCCGUUUUGAUGGUACGUACUAAAGCCCCUGUAGCUGAACUGCUAGAAGAACAAAACCAAGGUCAGGGGUUUGAACCCCAGGGAGCAUCCACACUGAUGAAACACUGCACUUAAAGUCGCUUUGAAGAAAAGUGUCUGCAGAAUGAGUAGAUGUAAAUGUAAAGCUUGAUCGUUCUGUCCCUUGUACGUCGCUUUGGACAAAAGCGUCUGCUAAAUGACUAAAUGUAAAGCACAGCUGGUGAGCACUGGGGUGGAUUUAUGUCGUGACCUUGUGAGUUGGAGUCUCAUGAUCCUAAAUGCUUGACGGACUCUUGGUGAAGGCCCUACGUCAAACAUUAAAACGACUGACCAAGGAGAGGCAGCGCUGUGAGGUCAUACCAAAGGAUACACAAACACAACGCUAAUCAUUUUCAGACGCCUUUGGUGCGGCCCUGUGGCCUAGCGCAGACUGCUAAACGCAUUUUAAUAACGACGGGCUGGAGGACGUCAGAGAGAGGGGGCACGGAGUCUGAGCAGUUCUAAGGAGAAAUCCAUGGAAUGAAGACAUGAAGACAUAACAGACAAGUUGCAUAACACAUGCUAUUAUGAAUGUGCUGCGUGUGGACGGCAGAAACCAGUCGGAGUUUUCAUCAACACCCAAAGGAGAUUAAAGGACAACUAUAAAAAAAAUGUUAUGGGAAGUCUGGUGGGUGAGAAAACUGUUACAGUGACCGAGAUCUUCAACUGGGCAAUAUGCUGUCAGUCUGUUUAUCAUUUUUAUUAUAUGGAAUUCGUACAGUGGACUUUGUGUACUGAACUGUAAAUACUCUUGACCCCCCCUGAUAUAUUUUUCUCAUAUCCUCUCAGGAAACCAUGUACAGGGGAAAAAAAGUCUUACUGUUCAUCCUGCAUUAACCUUUAUAGUUCUGCGUAUGGCCUUACUGACCAUAUAAAAACGUACUAGGACGUCUGCACCAGACUUCCCACCCCUGGUAUAAGCUUUUUUUCAUAGCGUUUCAUAGCUAAAAAGAGUGUCUAUUUCAAUUCCACACAGCAUAAAAGAAGAGAACAAAAGACUCCUGGUGUCCAUACAUGAGCAUAUAAAGAAUGACCUCAGACAGAAAGGAAGACAGAAAAAGCUCAUCUAAACAUCCUGAAGCUCAUUUUAAGAGGACAAACUAAAAGCUAUUAAACGAGUCUGUUCAGUUACAUAAGAGCGUUCACAUAAGCAUACAUGUAAAAUGUACUCAUUUUAAUGGCUAGGUCUGAGGCAUUGUCAUGUAAAGAUUUAACAUACAGUACCAGUCAAAGUUUGGACACCCCUUACAUUUUUUUGAGAAGUGUUUACUUUACUUUUAUUAUUUUCUACAUUGUAGAUUUAUACUGAAGACAUUUAAACUACGAAAGAACACAUAUGGAAUGAUGUACUAAACAAAAAAAGUUGUAUCUACCAUGUAGAAAAUAAUAAAUUUAAAGAAAAAUCUUCUCAAAAAAAUGAGAAGGUGUGUCCAAACUUUUGACUGGUACUGUACAACGUAGCUAACUGACUGAAAGCUAGUCUUCUGAAGGCUUGUUCCAUUCCAAGACUCUCAUUGUGCCUGAGCCUAACACAGGAUCACGUUUCUUAAAUGUACCCCUGGCUGAGCAUGAAUGACCUCACCUGAAUGACCUUGCCUGGGGCAACCAGACCACUGAGAAAGCCUCUGAUGUGCUCAUGUGGCCCGCGGGUGACAGCGCCGUAUCCCUAUCUGCACGGGCUAGCUGUUUUAAGCUAGCCUGAAAAACAAGCGGCUUGAAAACAUUCCAAUCAUUCCCUAAAUCAGCUUCGCACGAGGUUAAGCCACUCUUGGAGAGGCUGCCGUGCACGCACCCUGUGAUUUUCUUUGUUUCAGAUGUUCUGAUGUUGGACGUGAGCACCUUCUCGGGUGAUUUAGUGUUCCUUGCGGAUUCGAAAGGGAGCUAGAGGCACGUUGGCACAUCUGUGUUUCAGGUGUGCGCUGAGAGACAGCGCUGCUGCCAUGAACAGCGCUCGUGUGAGGAACAGUUUGAGGAACAGUUUGAGGAACAGUGUGACGCGGCAGAGAAAACAGUUGAGUGUUCUUGUAAACAGACCUACUUGACAACAUAUGCUGACCUAAGCAGUUUUAACUUAAGACAUCAGAAAGAGGGAAUGAGCAUUAGAAAAUAAAGCCUUUAAAUGGUGCAAUCCGUGAUUCUGAUACAAUUUCUGUCCAAUUCGGUGAAUUGCUCCAGUCCUCUAGCUGUUCACUCUGUGUUUGUACACAGUCAUCUAGCU